AGGUUUCUCAAGUUGCUGCAAUCUUCUAGGAUUUUCUUAUUAUUGUUUGAUGUUUUGCUUCUCAUCUGUAAUUAGCUUUAGUUUUGUAUCUGUGUUAUAUUGUCCUUUUUUUGUCAUUAUUUUUCUUACAACAAUUUAAUUUUAUCUAGUUGACAUAAUUGAAAUUUGAAAGGGAUUGAUGAGGUCUUAAUUUCAGUUAUAUGGAGAAGAGAUGUAUUGAAGCAUCAUUGUGGAAGGGUUUAUUGGGUUUCUCGAAAAAAUAUAUCCGAGGUUAAAUUUUUCAUGCAUUUUGUAAAAGAAUUGUCACUUGAGAAGAUAAUCCUCUAUAUUUGUCUACCAUAUCUAUUCGGCAAACCAUUCAAGUCUAGAUGCCAACUAUUCAAGUCCAAGUUUAGGGAAACAAAAACUGAUUCCUUGGUAGAAAUUGUUAAGGGUUUGAAAAAUAGAAAGAGAUUGGGUAAGAAGUGAAGAGGAAAAUAAUAUAGUCCGACUCUCUUGUUGGUUAUACCAAUUACCUUUUCAUCAUGACUAGAUGCAAUGGUAGGAUACUCUGGUUAUACCAAUUAGCUCUUAGCAUUUGUCUUUCUUGAUGAGUGGGCAUUAAGUGUAUGUAAAUAGCCUUUGAAAAUAGUAAUUAACCAUUGAUUGAUUCCUAAAUAGUUCAAACAAUUAUAAUAUACCAUUUAUGUUUGAGACUGUAUAACAAACCUGUAGUUUUUAUUUUAUGCAUCUGCUCAAGUAAUCUGACCAAUUUAAAUAUUGCCAUGACUUUAUCCCAAUGUGACUCUACAAAAAAAGCCAUCUUCCUCCAAUGGAUGAACAUAUAAAAUUGGAAUAUGAUUUGCUGCUAGUAAACUGGUG
RNAcentral lists this unclassified non-coding RNA (861 nucleotides) under Hevea brasiliensis (rubber tree). Lineage: Eukaryota; Viridiplantae; Streptophyta; Magnoliopsida; Malpighiales; Euphorbiaceae. The record is from RNAcentral.